Molecule: long non-coding RNA, 412 nt
Organism: Cannabis sativa
Lineage: Eukaryota; Viridiplantae; Streptophyta; Magnoliopsida; Rosales; Cannabaceae
Exons: 2
Source: RefSeq, a predicted model, not a curated record
CAUGUAUAUAGGGGACGCACAUCAGUAUCUUGGCCCGUGGCAAGGAAUUGCACAAGCAAACUGUCCAAGACAACCUAAAAGCCAAGAAUGCGGUUUUUAUGUUUUGAAAUAUAUGACUGACAUCGUCGCACGUGCCAACCCCAACCGUUACAUAGAAGAUCAAAAAGCUUUUGGGGGUAAGAAGCAAUACGAUCCAAAAACAGAAAUUUUACCACUACAGCGAAAGUGGAUCGAACAAUUGAUGGCGGUGAUUCACGGUGACGAUUGAGGUUCAAAGGUCGAAGAAUUUUUCUUCAUUAUGUAAUUUUUAUAGAUUAACUUGUAAUUAGAUUUAUUAACUUAUUAAUAUUUUUAACUAAUUUUACAUGUUUGUGUAAUAUUUAAUUAUUUUUAUGAAAUCAAAUUAUGUUUU